Long non-coding RNA from Xiphophorus couchianus (Monterrey platyfish), 6235 nucleotides. RefSeq lists it as uncharacterized. The record is from RefSeq and is a predicted model, not a curated record. The transcript has 2 exons. NCBI's taxonomy places the organism in Eukaryota, Metazoa, Chordata, Actinopteri, Cyprinodontiformes, Poeciliidae.
AAAACAAGCAUUAAGUCGUAGGAAUCCCAAGUCGUCAUUAACAGAAAGAAAAAAAUGAAAAUGCCAAAGCAGAGAAGCUCCAGAUCAAGUCUUCAAAUGCAGGGAAAACCAGGAUGGACCACUGGAAUGCACAUACAUGCAUGAAUAUGCAAAACAACAACACGGUGCAAUGCAAAGCAGACCAUGAGUCAUUAAUGACUCUCAAUAAUCAGGCCGCGGCGCUGCAAGGGCGAUAAUCAUCGGCCGCCCGCUCUCCAAGUGAUAAGCUAAUCAGUCGUUCGUCUCCAGCGAGCCGACAAGGGGACUCAUCAUGGCUGACAUUUCAGAGCAGGAUGGAGCCCAAAGAGCCCAGCCUCAGAGGAGAGGGGCACCUGAAGUGACUUAAUUAUCACUGCUGCAGAAGGAGAUCCACUCAACCCUGUUUUACACUUUUUUUAACUCAAGGUUAACCUGGUUCUUCCAACAUUAUGGCUUCUCUGCUGCAUUUAGCGCCUGUUUCAGGGAGCGAGUGAAAACAGGAGACUGAACGGUUUCAGUUUUAUUUGUAUCCUUCAGGUGUUUCGAAACAAAGAGUAUCAGAGGUGUGAUCACACAAACAUAAACCCUUAGCAUUUCUGCUGUAUCUAAUCACAUCAUCACCAUGUCAGUCACAGAUCUGUUGGGAAAAGGCAGAAAGAGAAAAUUCUGCUGAAAGUUGCUUCAGAUGCCAGGAAAAACCAACGUUUGCAUUCACCUGCAUCUCCUCCGGCUGUGGUGGGUGAAAUGAGCGCCGAGGAUUUCUCCUCCUCCAACAAGACAGUUGUGUUGCUGCACGCUCAAAUUAAAUCAUAACCUGUGGGGAUGCUGUCACAAUAAUCUGACAGCUCUCAGACAACCGGAUGUAGCCAGCGUCUCAGCCGAGCGGCUGUCAUCCUUCCACCAACCUGUGCAGCCCAGCCUGCAGCAGCAUCACAGCCCUCAUGCUUCACACAAACAUGAGGAGGAAGGCUGGGUUCACAGCGAGGUCCCCAUCAAGGUCAAACCUUCACCCGGGAAAGAGAAGCGUUGGUCGCCGCUCCUCAUGCGACAGAUGCCGCUGCUGAACGCAGCGCGGCUCCCAGCCGCUUUGAUCUCUGAGGCGCGCCUCGGCGGAGCGACAGCGUGAGAGAUGACACGGCUCCAAUAUGACCCAUCUUCUGUUUCCUCUGUGACAAUUCGAGGACAGCUCCGACAGACGAUACGAGUUAAACCCAGGUGGAAGCAACAGUCGGGGCAGAUUUCUGCUGACAGUGAACAGGAAAACAGAUUUUUAUGCCAAUAUGUUCAGCAUGACUGGCUGCAGCCGUCUGCAGGAAGCGGAGGAAACACUGAAAACCUGACGAGUUUCAGCCGAGAUGCAUUGAUUAGACUUUAAUAGGGAAAAACUGUUUUCUGCUUUUACUUUGAAGGGAGAAAACACAAGCAGGCUUUUGUUUAAGCCGUUUGGAUUCAAUAACUGACCAUGAAGGGAAACUGAACUGCAGGGACUUUGAUAAGCUGCACUUUGAAAUCCAACAUUAAAUAAAUACAAACAAGAUUUUCCCAGUUAUGCAUCAGUGGAGAUGUCCAACUGUUAUGAUUUUACAUUUGACUCAACAAGUAACACUUUGUUGAUAAGUCAAAUGUCUGAUUUUGAUUCCUAUCUGAUUGGCUCAUUACCAAGUUUCAGCAACAACAGUGGCAUGUUAUUGUACAGAAGUCUGGAUGGGGCUGAACUAUUGCAGAAAAACAUUUUAGGAAGACAAAGAGGCUUCAUACUGGUGGAUAAAUUUACUGCUUCUCAGUAAAAAUGUGAUUUUUUUUACUGCAGUAGCAUAAUGUCAGACUGAAAUAUUUCAGAAAAUUCAACCUUAACUUUCAGUUUUUACUGUUUUUUUUCCCCACUGAACUGAGUCAGAAAUGGAAUAAUAUUGGCUUUAUGACGGCUGAAGGAUUUCUGUUGAUUCUAACAUGUUUCAGAUCAAUGCUGACAGACUCGGCUUGUUUCAGUUUCAAAUGAGCAGCUGCUGAUCUCUGGCUAACCUGCUGCCUUGCAGUUCGAAGGUCUUGGGUUCAAAUCCCCACCUGGCUUCUUUCCAGGUACUCCGGCUUCUUCACAAAGUCCAAAAGCACAACUGUGAGGUAAAUUGGUCUCUCAAGAUUGCAUUUAGGAGUGUGUGUGUGUGUGUGUGUGUGUGUGUGUGUGUGUGUGUGAGGGGGGGGGUGUAUGUGUGUGUUUGUUGCUCUAAUGGACAAGCGACCGGUCCAUAUUGGACCACGCCUCUCCUCCGAUCAAUGAUGCAGAUAAGCACCAAACGUUCCCAGGACCCUGAGAGGAUAAGCAGAUGAUGGAUGAUCUCUCAGGCCCACAGCAUCACAGAUCCUCCACCGUACUUAGAGGACACGUGGUUCUUUAUUAAAAUGUAAUAUUUAUCUUUGCGAGACUUCCAAACAACCUAGACCAGUACAAGGCAUCGGCUUUGGGGUUUUUUUAAACCUUCCUUACCAGCGUUCUCUCAUGUUUCCCAUUUUUAUUGGUGAUCAAGCAAAAAACAGGAAGUCAUGGAGAACUGACCAGACGUUUGACUCUGAACAUGUUUUAAAUGAACCUAAGUUGAUCAUUCUGUGCAGAAUCAACAGUUUCUGAGUUUCUCGCUGUGAGAUUUUCCAUCACUAUAAAAGUUUGAUUAAUUUUAAGGCUUUUCGUCACCAGGAGGGCAGCAAAUUUGCCUGGAUCUGAAAUACUGUGCAUGAUUUUAAAUGGUUCAGAUAUCAUGUAAUCACACCGAAAAUUACUGGUCAUUACUGAUGUAUUAACACGCCACAGGAUUCAUUUAUAACGUUUCUUUGACUCUUUUUGGCGCGUAGCAGCAGAACGGCAGAUAAUCGAUCAUUAUUGGUGCAGCUGCGAAACAUCUGUUGGUCAACAGGAAAACCAAAGUGAUCCACUUCACUUCUCCUAUUUUACUGAACGACUCAUGGUGCCGAUAAGGAACAUUUUGUAUGAGCCACCUAUGCCAUUUGUAUCCAAGUAUGACCUGCAUUUUCUUUAAUUAACCAUUUCAUUAUUAAGGCGGGAUUUCUAUAGAGAAGCCAGUAGAAGCGCAGCUCCCCAUCAUCACCCUGUUGCUCCGAUUUUCAUCAUUGUUCUAACGGGGAGUAAUCAGCUGCUGUCCCGUUUGACCGCACACGCGUCUCCCUCUGCAGGUAAACACAGACUGCAGGUCAGCCGUGCAUGAAGGGGUUUGUAGAGGCUCAGAGAGGAUUAGGUUUCCUGAGCAGUCACCUACCGACGGAAGCAGCCAGGAAUUAGGACAAAAACCACGCCACGCCUCGCAUGUCAAGACCCCAGCUGAAACUCAGCUGCGAUCUGGUGGAGGGAGAGCGGGAUCAGAAACUUUUACAGUCAGACAUCAGCCAGAGACGUGACUGUGAGCAUGAGCGGGGAAUGCGCGGCUGGAAAGUCCGGCGAUCAGCCGUGAUCCAGAGCGCGCGGCGCAGGAGGACUAAGCCUCCGCUGGUACCCAGCUCGGCUCGGUUCGGCUCGGUUCUGCUUACCUUGAGCAGCCAGAAUGAUCACCGCUGCCACCAUCCAGGCGUUCCGCCCCGGAGAGCGCGGGCAGCGCGCUGCGUAAUCUCUCGCCAUUCUUCUGCACUGGAGCUCAGCGCGUCCUCCUCCUGAUUCCGGACCGAGCGCAGAUCCUCUGAGUCUUAAUGACGGGCAGGAGCGCGACCCCUCCCCCGUGUGGCCCGGCCGCAGUGCGCACAGGUAGCCCGCGGCGGGUGCGAGUCUGGCGGAUAGCGUUGAGAGCAGCAGGCGGAGAACAAAGUGUGGACGGAGUGUGAGAGAGUCGCAGGAGCUCCGUGGGUUUGAUGCGCAGAGCUGAGUGGGGAACAUCCGAGUGAUGUCAGCAGAGCGUCACCAAGAGGACUUCAGCCGAAAAGCGGAGGAGAGGAGAGGAGAGGAGAGGAGAGGAGAGGAGAGGAGAGGAGAGGAGAGGAGAGGAGAGGAGAGGAGAGGAGAGGAGAGGCUAGGCUGCGGGAACAUGUCUCCUGUUCAGGUGGAGAUUCUCAUCAUCACUGAGAAAAUGUUUGGCUGAUUAACCGCAGACGUAAUGAUUUAUUAAACUAAACAGAAAUCUAGAACAGAUGCCAGUUGAACUAUUUUCUUCUCAACCCUCCUUUGUUUUUUAGUCCUACUUAGUUUUAAUUUCGAGACAAAUUGUAAUUUUACAGACUCGGUUUUGAUCCUCCAUACAAACAAAAUUAUCACAAAAAUAAUGCACAAGUGCCCCGUUUAAAAAUACAACAUGGAUAUAUUUUAUGUUUUAAUUAUAGUUGAAGAGAAAAUAAAACUGGCAGGACAGACCAAAUAAAACUGGAAUCACUGGUGCGUGUCCAGGUCUUUCUGGUCAAACUGGAGCCGACAUGGCUGAAAGGUUUAAGCUCAUAAACCUAAUUUAUUAAUCCCUUUUACUGUGAAACUAAACAGUGUUCCUAUUAAAAAUGGUUUUGCUUGUAAAAGUUUUGAGGUUGGUGCAAUUUUGUAUAUUUAAAAGGGAUUUUUGGGGGGGGCAAAAACAGACAAAAUAUUAAUCUGCGGUAGAAUUCCCUCAUCCCUCCAUUUUCUGCUCGGGGUCACCCGUUGACCCCGAGUCCCUGGACAUGGAGCACAUGCUUUAACAUUUUCUACUAUCUGAAGAGUUUACAGUUGGUGCCAUGUUUCCUUAUGUUGCAUGAGCCUCAGGAUAUGGAGGAGAGGAUGAAGGACUUAUUAUACCUGAUGAAGAUCAGGGGAACAUUUUACCAGCAUUUGUUUCCAGGUUGAAUAAAGGUCAAAGUAUCAAUUAUUCAUUUAUCUUAUCUUCAUCUUGAGAGAAAACAGUAAAACUGUUUAAAUCAACACAAGUUUUCCAUUCCUCUAUCAGAUCAGGAAAUAAGUCGUUUAAAGCUUCCUGGAGUCUUUUUAUUACUUCCACCAUUAGUCAUUUUAUAUAUUUUCAUUUUAAAUUACUAAUAGAGGUCCAAUAAAGCUGUUGUAUUUGGUCACCAAAUGUUCUCCAGAAAACAAAUCCAUGAAUUUCAGAAAUGAUCUUCCAUGCAGAACUCAAAUGAAAAGCCAUGAAUCUAAAGACAGGGUGGCUUCUAAAAGCUACAUUAAGAUUCAAUAUUAUCAUCGUACAUUAAAGGGUUUUCUGAACUUUGAUCCUCCUGUUAAAGUUCAUGCAGUUUGCAGGUUUAUCAGUAACAAAAUACUGACAGUCUGGGAUUCUGAUUUUUCUUGGUUUAUUUCAAAAUAAAACAUUUUAGGGAUAAAAAUGCUGGUUUUAAUAACCUCUCAUUAUGUUCUCAGACUACUGCCAGGCUUCCCAGGAAGUAGCUUCUACUUUAUUUUUGACCACCAAAGAUCAACGUGAUCGCUUAAAUUUUUUAUCAUUGCACAUAAUUGUGCUCUUCCAGUUCUCUAAGAUGAAGUAAACAUCCCUCUUAUCCCUGCUUGAGCAUUCGUAGAAUCGCUGAAAAGUUUCCUAAAAAGAUGCUUUGAUGUUUGUGGAAACCUUGGCAAAGGAAAUCUAAGCAGAGAUAAACCCGUCCGCCCUCAGAAGAAGACAAUGGGCGGGUUAAAAAUAGGCUUAUGGGAUAAAAAUGAACUAAUUAGUCAUAAAUUCAAAAGAGUAUAAUCCAGCACAAAUCCAAUGAAAUGGGAUGGAUAAAUUAUUUUUCUUUAAAUGUCAGGAGACGAUAGAAAUAUACUUAGUUCUGUUUAUUUUUACAGCCUCAGCAGACAUUUGAAAAGCCCGUUAUAAAGCCUCAUCUCAUAUUUAAGAGAUUAUUUCAUAUUUAGUCUUCAAAGAUGCUAAUGAUCCUUCUGAGAAGAUCUCAGGCUCUUGUCCCAGCACAGCUUUGUUCCUGUGGUACCAACGCAAAGUUAAAUCUGCAGAAAAGAAAAGUAAAUCUAAAAGCAUUCAGUAGAGCACUGAAUGUCUGGAGGUGGAGAAAAAUGUGAUUUUCAUGUUUUUAAAAAGGAGCAAAAGAGAAAAUGAGGUAAAUACACAAGUCCUGUUUGCAGUAAGUAAUACUUGCAUUUAUUAUUUGGUGAAAAACUUAAACGCAGAUCACAUUAAAUCUACAACCAGCAAAACUUUAAGUACAAUUCAGAGAAUUUCUCCAUUCAAACUGAUGAAGUUUGAACAAUUCUGCAAAAAAGAAUGAACAAAAGGAAGUAGAAAUAUACCCA